CGCGGAACUUUGGGUUUCCUAGGGCGUAAAAGAAACAGCAAUUUUGAGGAACAGCAGUCGUGGGAUAGAGGGUGGGAGGCACCCGCCCAAAAAUCCAAGGAAAAGACCCCUCCCCGAAACUUGGUGUGGGUGCAGGCUGUGCCCUGCACACCCUGCGAGGUGUUCAAAGUUUCAGAGUUUGCUCGCAGUUGUCACAGGGUCUGUGUUCACCAGGAGGGCUCCUGCCUCCUCCUUUCAAACGAGCGGCACAAACCAGGUGGAUAUUAAAUGUGUAACAUAAACUGCGGAAUACGUCGAGUAUGACUAAGGGGAUAUUUUGUCUUUCCCUUGAGGUUCGGUAGAACGGAGUUUUUUUUCUGUGUUUCAAAGGUAUGGUUGAGCUUUCAUUUUUAGGUGCGUAAGGAGCUGUCAGCAGGUAAAGAAAUAUCAAAUCCUGAGUGUGUUCUGACUUGUGUGGGUCAGGAGCCUUCAGAUCCUCCUUUAAAUCCUUCUCUGGCCUUGGUUUUCCUGGGAAUCUUCAGUCCAUAUUGUAUUGCUUGAGCUGGGGAAUCCUUAAGCUUUUAUUUUCCUCCUUUUCAAACUCUGGCUUCCCACAUAAUGAGAUCAAAAGGGUUAAGAUGCGAUUGCAGUGCUGAAGUUUUUGUUAAUUUUAGCGUGGCAAAUGGAACAGUGUGUUUUGGUACACAGAGAGUUUCGUGGUGCACAGCAGCCAGCUUGGCUUUAUGUGAUGCCUUCAUUAGCAAGGCAGACUCAAAAGGAGUUAAAAGAGAUGGGAAAUAGGGAAUAAAGUCAUUCCAAACCCCUUCAUUGAUCACUCACAGAAGUCUCCUUCUGGAGAAGAAAUCGCAAUUUUUAAAAUUUACGUUUCUUAAAGUGCAGUUGCUGCCUCAGGGGUGUGGAGGGUGAAUGCCAAAGUUAUCGUUUCAUUCCCAAUUUCAAUUUUCUGCUCAAAAAUGCCAUCCCAAAUUUCAAUUUUCUUCUCAAAAAUUCCAUCCCUAAUUUCAGUCUUCUGCCCAGGUUCUGUACAGAGCGGUAUUUGCAGGCAGGGACUGCGGGAUGGCACUCUGAAAAGUUGGGCUUUUUUUUUAUUUCUGUAGCUAUAUCACUUUGCUUAACAAAAAAAAAAAAAAAAGUAAUUACUUCCUCCAUUCAUACUUUGAAGACCUCAGGACAUUCUGAUUUUGUUUUGGUUUUAUUUUUUUGUGUCUUUGGACUGUACAGAAUUAAAAAAAUGCACGUGGGUGGGUCCUGCUGUGUCAGGGAGGAGAGGGGACACAAAAUCUCCUGCUUGGGGUUGGAGCUGUGGCCCUGCAGCUCUCCAGGUACUGCAGGAGGUGGGUGCUCCUCAGAAAAAUGGGAUUUAUGAAAAGUUCUCACACCGUGGUUGGGUAUUUUUUAAGCAGGAGUAAAUCCCCAAAAAAUGUGCUUUUAAGUUCAUUUUUUUGCAGUUGAAAGGUACCUAAGGGAGGGUUUGUGAUUAAGGCUCUGCUGUUUGAAGAAUGACCGAUGGACUCCUUUAAUUAUUUUCAUUUUCUUAGGUAAAACCUUUAAGGGUUCUCCUCUGAUUAAUUAGCAAACGGGAUUGAUUUCAGAUUUAACAACCUUUAAAAACUAAAAUCAACUGUAAUACUUGGGCAGGGACUCUUUUGCUUGGCCAGAAAAAGUUUGCCAGAAAAACUUCACUCAAGUUUCUAAAACUUUUGUUUCCUUCCUGUGCAAAGAACCCCGGGGUUAUGUGUGGGGAGUGUCACAUGUGGAAAUUAGGGAAUGCGAUACGAUGGGUGCUGUUGCCAAAGGAAAAUUAAAGUUCUUGCUCCCUCCAGAAAAACAGUGGUCAGCCUUACUUGCCACAAUUUUUCAUGGAGUUUUAAUCAUGAAAUUGCCUUUCCCGUAAUGGAUUUUUCUUACCACAAACCCAGAGCGUUUUCAGCCUUUUUUGCCCCGUUUGGGAUUGUUUGUUCUGUUGGGGGGGGGGAAAGAAAAAAAACCAAAAUAAAAUCAUCAGAUAAGAUCAAACAUAAUUCUGCAGAUCCCAGCCUUGUGAGGUUACUGAAUUCCUGGGUACUGGGGAAGGUUUGGGUAAAUUAAAGCAGUGUGUUUGCCCAAAAUAAGGUAACUGGAAAGUUUGUUCUUCUGCAGAGCUCUCCCUCACUCCAUAGGCUGAGGCAUACGUGAAUUUUCCUGAUCUUAAUUACUAUUCCUGUCUAAUUGCACCCAGACUCUAAUUUAUCUCAAGAUUGUUGUGAUCUUCGCCUUCCACUCCAGCAUUUUGGAAAUCAUUACGCAGUUUGCAAUAAUCAAUUCAAUUAACCACGGAUCAAAGAAGGGGAAAAGAAAAGCUUAUGUUUGAGAAUUGUCAUUCUUGAUACUGUCCUAAGAAGCUGGCUUGGAAAGCACAUGCUGGGAGGUUUUCUCCUUUGUUCUCUCUCCUUUUAAGAAAGUGCCUUUGGGGAUUGGAGAGAUCCCUGGUGUGUUUCUUGUUAGACAUAAUUUAUACUUUAAAAAUAAAAUUAAAAUUAAAAAAAAAAAAGAAAGAAAAAAAAAAAA
Molecule: long non-coding RNA, 2547 nt
Organism: Poecile atricapillus (Black-capped chickadee)
Lineage: Eukaryota; Metazoa; Chordata; Aves; Passeriformes; Paridae
Exons: 2
Source: RefSeq, a predicted model, not a curated record